Molecule: long non-coding RNA, 1184 nt
Filed under: Triticum aestivum (bread wheat)
Lineage: Eukaryota; Viridiplantae; Streptophyta; Magnoliopsida; Poales; Poaceae
Description: long non-coding RNA (TAES_LNC012024)
Source: RNAcentral
AGAGACAAAGCUUUAACCAUAAUUGGUGCUUAACCUUCUUGCUCCUGUUAAUGAUUUUGGCCAUGAAGGCAUCAGAGUAAGGGGAGGAAGAAUGGGACGGCGCCUGCCGGAAGUUGUCGAUGGGUGUUGACGGCCUGGCCAAGCCAUCUCCCUCCACGAUAGGUGGCAGUCGGCGGAGAGGUGUAAAUAUGACGAGAUGUGAAAAUAAGCUCGAGGAAAUUAAUAUGGACCAGCAAACUGACAAAAGCAGAAUAUAACAUAAUUAUAUUACAGAGUGUACUAACAUAAUUAUAUUCCAGAUUAAACUAAUGGCACAACAAUUUACAGGGUUAGAAUGCAGUGCACAUAUAUAUCUCAGUGGCGCAAAAACUAUUUAGCCAACUUCACUAACAAUGCAGAAAUUGGCUUCAGUGUACUAACAUAGUUAUUUUGGAUAUAAGCAAUCAACCACGAAUUUAACAUCAGAGAUAUCUGACCAUUUUAAGUAACAAAAAAAGAGCCCAAUAGCAGCACAACAUGGAGCUGCAUUAACCAGCCCCUUUUAAAGAAAGGCUUUAGGAUCACAAGUUGUGUAGUUGAUCAACUUGGAAAUAUAAAAGAAUUUACUUCAAAUCAGUACAACACCACCGACAAAUGCGAUGUGAUAAGAAAGCAAUGAACAUAUACACUGCUCCACACUUAGUUUUGUAUGUAAAGAGAAAGCCAUGCCAGAUGAUUUUUUUGGAUCACAGAAAGCCAUCUUGAAUACAUCUGAAUGAUAUAAUCAAUUUUCGAAAUGUUUGGCAGGCACAAGAAAAACACACGAGUAAAAAUAAUAAUAUAUGAUUGGUAUCUGUAUUUGAUCCACCUGGGUACAUGUACAUCCUAAAAGCAACAAGACAAGCUAUCAUCCAACCUCAUGUGCAGCUUAUCACAUGGUACACAGAACUUCACAAAUUAUCAGGACAUCAAUCAAGUAUUAAAAUGCAUGAGCAAGUAGAUAAACUUACCCCAGAACUUGUUUCCCAAAGUACUUACAACACGGUGACCACAAUAUAAAGCCGGUGACCUGUACUGAUCUGCAGGACUACAUCAUUGUAAUUUGUUCAAACCAGCACCUAAAUUCCACACAUUGCCUCACUACAUGCAGGUGAAAAGGCAUAAACCAGAACGCAACUGAACAAGUGAUAACAAGAUUGGCAUAC